AAAUUGAAGAGUUUGAUCAUGGCUCAGAUUGAACGCUGGCGGCAGGCCUAACACAUGCAAGUCGAACGGUAACAGGAAGCAGCUUGCUGCUUCGCUGACGAGUGGCGGACGGGUGAGUAAUGUCUGGGAAACUGCCUGAUGGAGGGGGAUAACUACUGGAAACGGUGGCUAAUACCGCAUAACGUCGCAAGACCAAAGAGGGGGACCUUCGGGCCUCUUGCCAUCAGAUGUGCCCAGAUGGGAUUAGCUAGUUGGUGAGGUAACG
Molecule: ribosomal RNA, 265 nt
Filed under: Salmonella enterica
Lineage: Bacteria; Pseudomonadati; Pseudomonadota; Gammaproteobacteria; Enterobacterales; Enterobacteriaceae
Also listed under: 3 other names
Description: partial 16S ribosomal RNA
Rfam family: Bacterial small subunit ribosomal RNA
Source: RNAcentral